CUAGUAUGUAAAUACCGGACACAGGGGAUCCCUGUAACCAUUAUGCACCCCUGUGCUCUCUGCCAGUUUGCAUCAAGAAGUCCUUGGAUCAGAUGUUCUAGUCAUGUUCUGCCACAGACUUGCUGUGUAACUUUGCACAAGUCAUCGCUUUGGUUUCCCUGGAAAAUGAAGACGACACCAACUGGAGCAGGGUGUUGGAGGCAUAAUUCAUUAAUGGCUGUUAACAUUAGUGCUAUGAGAUCAGGCCGCUAUUAUAGUGAAGAGUACUAUUAUUUUAUUUGAAUCAGCAUUUAUAAUAUCAACCCUCUGACUUGUAUCUUCAGCUGGCGAACAUCAGUUUAAUACCUUCAUUGACUUCACAAGAGCUAUGGUGAUUUGCACCAGCUGAGGAACUGGUCCUAAUCAACACCUCAGAAUUGUUAAUCUAUUCUUUGGGAGAUAAUCAGAAAAAGUCUCCUGAGAUCUACACAGCUCAUGUAGAGGGACGUGGAGCUACAGCUAUGAAAAUUAAAUGGCCAAAGAAAUCAAAACAACCAGAUACGAUUCCUCCAACCAUAACAAAUUGCCCAUGGGACAUUACCAUAACCACCGAGACUGAUCCAGUACAGGUCAGCUGGGAACAACCUGAAAUUAGCGACAACAGUGGGGUGUUUACCUCAGUAGCUUCAAUAUCCAGUGGCUCCUGUUUCCGGUAUGGAACUCAUCAAGUGCAAUACACCGCCCAUGAUGAAGCAGGAAAUGAAGCCUCCUGCCAGUUUAAAGUUACCAUCCAAAAGCCAGAUCUUUCGUGCAACGCCCAACCUCCCACUGAUGGGUCUUUGGCUUGUGGAAUGUUAUCUUAUCCUGGCAGUGGAAUGAACAAAUGGCAGUUUUGUGUACCAUUCUGCAUGAAGAGCACUGGUUUCCAUCGGAGAGCAUGGUCAGUGUUUUUCUGCCAGUCUUCUCAGUCUGGGACAAGUUGGUUUCAUUUGGAUGAAGCCUGGCAAAUGACAAAAGCUCACAUGCCAGAGACUUGCACAGAUACUGGACCACCUGUAGUGAUCUCCUGUCCUCAGAACAUUGAGAUAGAAACCAAAAAAGGAAACCUCUACUGGAAUGACUUGCCUGAAUUCUCUUGGAAGGAGCCUGUGUUUGAAGACAACUCCAGGGGUCCACUGACAAUCACAAAAGGAGGGUCCAAUGUUAAUAAUGGAGACAAACUGGCAUAUGGCCAAUAUUCAGUGGAAUAUAUAGCAACAGAUCUUUCAGGAAACCAAGCCAAAUGUUCCUUUGAGAUCUCUGUGAAAUCAAUUGCAUGCACAAUGGAAUUGCCGGAGCAUGGAGCUAUAGUCUGUGGCUAUCCUUCGGUGGACGGCAUGGACCUCAUGACCAUUGACUGUAUUGUACUGUGUCAAAGCAAAUACCAGUUUAGCAGGGAUCCAUAUCCAAUAUAUGCAUGCUCAGAGGAGGGACUUUGGUGGACCUUCACAAGCACAUUCACGCCUAUUGGCCCAAAUUUGCCAAGUUUAAACCAUAAGUGCCAAGGUAAGAAAGUUUAAAUGAAUGAAAAACUUUGUACCUAAUUAAAAAUUCUUAUUUGCAUGUUAUAUUUUCACCACUUUGAUGAGCCUGAUGGCAUGUAAAUUAUAUUUCAAGGAUUCAUUAAAAGUAAUUUUCCUUUUUUCUAUAAACAACACUUGUCAGAUUUCUCAAAUCAGCACUGAAUUAAACUGAGGUGGGUUGAGUUCAGCUGCUUGAUUUACUUUAUUACAGAUUUAAAAUCUGCUGAGGGAGUAUAGAUAUUUCACAUUAAUUAUGUUGAUGAAGAUCUGUGUUCUGAUUACCAACCCUGAGUCUUUAUACAGAAAAUGGAGACAUAUCAAUGAGAUACCAUACCACUCUCUAACCGGUGAGGGAUUACAGGAAUAAAGCACCAUUGCUUUAUUAACUGAUGACUUUU
This 1939-nucleotide long non-coding RNA is filed under the name Chrysemys picta bellii (western painted turtle). RNAcentral describes it as "lncRNA (ENSCPBG00000005295.1)". The record is from RNAcentral. Lineage: Eukaryota; Metazoa; Chordata; Testudines; Emydidae.